UACGGAGGAUGCGAGCGUUAUCCGGAUUUAUUGGGUUUAAAGGGUGCGUAGGCGGACUGUCAAGUCAGCGGUAAAAUUGAGAGGCUCAACCUCUUCCCGCCGUUGAAACUGGUGGUCUUGAGUGGAUGAGAAGUAUGCGGAAUGCGUGGUGUAGCGGUGAAAUGCAUAGAUAUCACGCAGAACCCCGAUUGCGAAGGCAGCAUGCCGGCUUCCUACUGACGCUGAAGCACGAAAGCGUGGGGAUCGAACAGG
Molecule: ribosomal RNA, 252 nt
Filed under: uncultured bacterium
Lineage: Bacteria
Description: partial 16S ribosomal RNA
Rfam family: Bacterial small subunit ribosomal RNA
Source: RNAcentral